Molecule: ribosomal RNA, 460 nt
Filed under: uncultured bacterium
Lineage: Bacteria
Description: partial 16S ribosomal RNA
Rfam family: Bacterial small subunit ribosomal RNA
Source: RNAcentral
CCUACGGGAGGCAGCAGUGAGGAAUAUUGGUCAAUGGGCGGGAGCCUGAACCAGCCAAGUCGCGUGAGGGAAGACGGUCCUAUGGAUUGUACACCUCUUUAGGCGGGGAGCAAUGCCGGGCACGCGUGCCCGGAGGGAGAGUACCCGCAGAAUAAGCAUCGGCUAACUCCGUGCCAGCAGCCGCGGUAAUACGGAGGAUGCGAGCGUUAUCCGGAUUUAUUGGGUUUAAAGGGUGUGUAGGCGGAUUUUUAAGUCAGCGGUAAAAUGUCCGGGCUCAACCCGGGCCGGCCGUUGAAACUGGGGAUUUUGAGUGGGCGAGAAGUAUGCGGAAUGCGUGGUGUAGCGGUGAAAUGCAGAGAUAUCACGCAGAACUCAGAUUGCGAAGGAAGCAUACCGGCGCCCGACUGACGCUGAGGGACGAAAGCGUGGGGAUCGAACAGGAUUAGAUACCCCAGUAGUC